Molecule: long non-coding RNA, 900 nt
Organism: Anneissia japonica
Lineage: Eukaryota; Metazoa; Echinodermata; Crinoidea; Comatulida; Comatulidae
Exons: 2
Source: RefSeq, a predicted model, not a curated record
GGGCAGCAGAUCCUUUUGUGGAAGUAUUCUUUGAAAGUAAUGUGAAAAAUGAGAAAAACUGAACUUAUAAUUGAGUCAUUAUUGAAACAAUUAUUGCUGAAUGGAUUGAUGAACUGUCUCUGCUAAAUGCCCCAAUAUAGGUAAAGGUCGUAUUAUACUUUGACCGCCUUACACGCAAGUAAUAUGGUAUGUUCAAUCUGUGAAUGUUGCUACUAUUCAUCCAGUAAGUGUUAAGUUAAAACACCUACUCAACGUUAAUUAUAGUACCGGUAAGUUCCAGUUUUUGAUAAAAAUACAAUUUUAACUAAUACGGUAUGUGUUUAUAAAAUUAUGAUAUAUAUAAAGCAAAAAGAUAUCAAUUAUAUCAACCAUGGACGAAAUAUAGAGAAAAAAAUUGUAAAAAUAAUGAAAACAAUUAUGAGCAAUACUCGUCACUCGCUAAAUUCAUACACCUUUCUCAGAUCUGGUAAACGACGAAAAAUAAUUUGAUGUAGAAUUUUUGCCAUCUUCUUGUGAGAAUUUACAAUGGGUCUAAUUUUUUGUUUUAGGUUCCAGAAUGUCCGUAAUAUAUAGUUUUGCUAGGGCUAUUCAGGUCAUCAGGACCUCAGUAGUAAUGUCCCCCACGUAUGAAUGCAUAGUUCGGUUAGGAUAGGGGUAUGUGUGUCAUUAGGACCUUAGUGGAGUAAUGCCCCUACCCCAUAAUUCAGAAUUUGGUUAAGGUUGGGGUAUGCAUGUCAUUAGGACCUGAGUGGAGGGAGUACCAUCCCUAUGCCAGAAUAAAUAUUUUGGUUAGGGUUGGGGCAUGCAGGUCAUAUCUUAGUGGAGUAACGGGGCCCCCUCCCCCAGAAUGCAUAGUUCGGUUAGGGUCGGCAGUGGCGGAUUUAGGGAGGUAAAAAAAAA